UCUCCAGACUCCUACGGGAGGCAGCAGUGAGGAAUAUUGGUCAAUGGUCGGGAGACUGAACCAGCCAAGCCGCGUGAGGGAUGAAGGUACAGAGUCUCGUAAACCUCUUUUGUCAGGGAACAAAGGCGGGGACGUGUCCCCGGAUGAGUGUACCUGAAGAAAAAGCAUCGGCUAACUACGUGCCAGCAGCCGCGGUAAUACGUAGGGAGCAAGCGUUGUCCGGAAUUACUGGGCGUAAAGGGCGCGUAGGUGGGCGCUUAAGUCAGGUGUGAAAACUCCGGGCUCAACCUGGAGACUGCACUUGAAACUGGGUGUCUUGAGGGCAGGAGAGGAAAGUGGAAUUCCUAGUGUAGCGGUGAAAUGCGUAGAUAUUAGGAGGAACACCAGUGGCGAAGGCGACUUUCUGGACUGUACCUGACGCUGAGGCGCGAAAGCGUGGGUAGCGAACGGGAUUAGAUACCCUAGUA
RNAcentral lists this ribosomal RNA (467 nucleotides) under uncultured bacterium. RNAcentral describes it as "bacterial SSU rRNA". It matches the Rfam family "Bacterial small subunit ribosomal RNA", at positions 328 to 792 of the family's 1533-position model. The record is from RNAcentral.